AUACGUAGGUGACAAGCGUUAUCCGGAUUUACUGGGCGUAAAGGGCGUGUAGGCGGUCUUGCAAGUCAGAAGUGAAAUUCCUGGGCUCAACCCCUAAACUGCUUUUGAAACUGUAUCCCUUGAGUAUCGGAGAGGCAGGCGGAAUUCCUAGUGUAGCGGUGAAAUGCGUAGAUAUUAGGAGGAACACCAGUGGCGAACGCGGCCUGCAGGACGACAACUGGCGCUGAGGCGCGAAAGCGUGAGGAGCAAACAGGAUUAGAUCCCCUCGUAGUCCCCACUGUAAACGAUGAAUGCUAGGUGUAGGGGGUAUCGACCCCUUCUGUGCCGCAGUCAACACAAUAAGCAUUCCGCCUGGGGAGUACGGCCGCAAGGUUGAAACUCAAAGGAAUUGACGGGG
This 397-nucleotide ribosomal RNA is filed under the name uncultured bacterium. RNAcentral describes it as "partial 16S ribosomal RNA". It matches the Rfam family "Bacterial small subunit ribosomal RNA", at positions 523 to 918 of the family's 1533-position model. The record is from RNAcentral.